This 468-nucleotide ribosomal RNA is filed under the name uncultured bacterium. RNAcentral's name for it is "partial 16S ribosomal RNA". It matches the Rfam family "Bacterial small subunit ribosomal RNA", at positions 28 to 507 of the family's 1533-position model. The record is from RNAcentral.
GACGAACGCUGGCGGCGUGCUUAACACAUGCAAGUCGAACGGAAAGGCCCUGCUUUUGUGGGGUGCUCGAGUGGCGAACGGGUGAGUAACACGUGAGUAACCUGCCCUUGACUUUGGGGUAACUUCAGGAAACUGGGGCUAAUACCGGAUAGGAGCUCCUGCUGCAUGGUGGGGGUUGGAAAGUUUCGGCGGUUGGGGAUGGACUCGCGACUUAUCAGCUUGUUGGUGGGGUAGUGGCUUACCAAGGCUUUGACGGGUAGCCGGCCUGAGAGGGUGACCGGCCACAUUGGGACUGAGAUACGGCCCAGACUCCUACGGGAGGCAGCAGUGGGGAAUAUUGCACAAUGGGCGGAAGCCUGAUGCAGCAACGCCGCGUGCGGGAUGACGGCCUUCGGGUUGUAAACCGCUUUCGCCUGUGACGAAGCGUGAGUGACGGUAAUGGGUAAAGAAGCACCGGCUAACUACGUG